CCUACGGGAGGCUGCAGUGAGGAAUAUUGGUCAAUGGACGCAAGUCUGAACCAGCCAAGCAGCGUGCAGGAAGACUGCUCUAUGAGUUGUAAACUGCUUUUAUACGGGAAUAAACUCAGAUACGCGUGUCUUUCUGAAAGUAUCGUACGAAUAAGGAUCGGCUAACUCCGUGCCAGCAGCCGCGGUAAUACGGAGGAUUCGAGCGUUAUCCGGAUUUAUUGGGUUUAAAGGGUGCGUAGGUGGUUUGUUAAGUUAGAGGUGAAAUCCCGAGGCUCAACUUCGGAAUUGCCACUGAUACUGGUAGCCUAGAGAGUAGUUGCGGUAGGCGGAAUGUAUGGUGUAGCGGUGAAAUGCUUAGAGAUCACACAGAACACCGAUUGCGAAGGCAGCUUACCAAGCUACCUCUGACGUUGAUGCACGAAAGCGUGGGUAGCAAACAGGAUUAGAUACCCGGGUAGUC
This 460-nucleotide ribosomal RNA is filed under the name uncultured bacterium. RNAcentral's name for it is "partial 16S ribosomal RNA". It matches the Rfam family "Bacterial small subunit ribosomal RNA", at positions 338 to 795 of the family's 1533-position model. The record is from RNAcentral.